UNUGAUGUGAAAGCCCCCGGCUCANCCGGGGAGGGUCAUUGGAAACUGGGGAACUUGAGUGCAGAAGAGGAGAGUGGAAUUCCAUGUGUAGCGAUGAAAUGCGUAGAUAUAUGGAGGAACACCAGUGGCGAAGGCGACUCUCUGGUCUGUAACUGACGCUGAGGCUCGAAAGCGUGGGUAGCAAACAGGAUUAGAUACCCUGGUAGUCCACGCCGUAAACGAUGAGUGCUAAGUGUUGGAGGGUUUCCGCCCUUCAGUGCUGCAGUUAACGCAUUAAGCACUCCGCCUGGGGAGUACGACCGCAAGGUUGAAACUCAAAGGAAUUGACGGGGACCCGCACAAGCGGUGGAGCAUGUGGCUUAAUUCGAAGCAACGCGAAGAACCUUACCAAGUCUUGACAUCCUUUGACCACUCUAGAGAUAGAGCUUUCCCUUCGGGGACAAAGUGACAGGUGGUGCAUGGUUGUCGUCAGCUCGUGUCGUGAGAUGUUGGGUUAAGUCCCGCAACGAGCGCAACCCUUAUUACUAGUUGCCAGCAUUCAGUUGGGCACUCUAGUGAGACUGCCGGUGACAAACCGGAGGAAGGUGGGGAUGACGUCAAAUCAUCAUGCCCCUUAUGACUUGGGCUACUCACGUGCUACAAUGGAUGGUACAACGAGCAGCGAACUCGCGAGGGUAAGCGAAUCUCUUAAAGCCAUUCUCAGUUCGGAUUGUAGGCUGCAACUCGCCUACAUGAAGCCGGAAUCGCUAGUAAUCGCGGAUCAGCACGCCGCGGUGAAUACGUUCCCGGGUCUUGUACACACCGCCC
RNAcentral lists this ribosomal RNA (807 nucleotides) under uncultured bacterium. RNAcentral describes it as "bacterial SSU rRNA". It matches the Rfam family "Bacterial small subunit ribosomal RNA", at positions 588 to 1395 of the family's 1533-position model. The record is from RNAcentral.